CUAGCACAUCUUGCAUCCGCGACUUAGACCGCGACUCGAGUCGACAUUCCCGCGGCUGUCAAAUCUGUCGAUUUCCGUAGCACAACUUGAACCCGCGACUGCAACAGCCGCGUAGAGAACUCAAAGUCGCGGCGCGACUCAUCAGUGUUGCCCGAUGAAAUCAAAGUCUAAACAUAAAUGCUAUUUACAUGUGACAACACUGAAUCGGAAACAGGGUUGCGCUAUUUCAUUCGUUCUUUGGUGGUAAAAAUCUAGUUUAUUGUCGAUGGUUAAGUUUUUCCUGUCAAAGUCAAGGAACUUUCAAAUUUUGUCAACAUUUAAUUACGAGAAAAAAUAUGAAAAAAAUAAUAAGUCCAGCAUUAUCCUAGACACGAUUGAUAUCCCAGCACCCAAAGGAAAAUAUUGUUAACAGGGAUGUGCCAACGGGACCCGAAGUGGAGAGUCAGGAAAAGAAACACACUAGGCAAGCUUGGUGAUAUUGUCUUACGCCGCAUGUCGAAGAAAAAGGAAGAGAGAAAAUACUUUUCAAGGGUAAUAAAGAA
This is a long non-coding RNA of Cydia splendana, 542 nucleotides long. RefSeq lists it as uncharacterized. Lineage: Eukaryota; Metazoa; Arthropoda; Insecta; Lepidoptera; Tortricidae. The transcript is spliced from 3 exons. The record is from RefSeq and is a predicted model, not a curated record.